ACAGGAACUUGGUCCCAUGCCAGAGCAGACUGUGGUCCCAAACCAUUGCCUGGCCUCGAUCUGUCAGCUGCUGGCACUGAAGGGGGGUUGCACAGAG
Molecule: small nucleolar RNA, 97 nt
Filed under: Dipodomys ordii (Ord's kangaroo rat)
Lineage: Eukaryota; Metazoa; Chordata; Mammalia; Rodentia; Heteromyidae
Description: Small nucleolar RNA SNORA42/SNORA80 family (ENSDORG00000021753.2)
Source: RNAcentral